Non-coding RNA from Triticum aestivum (bread wheat), 135 nucleotides. NCBI's taxonomy places the organism in Eukaryota, Viridiplantae, Streptophyta, Magnoliopsida, Poales, Poaceae. The record is from Rfam.
UUGGUACUCCCUCCGUCCCAAAAUUCUUGUUGUAGCUUUGUCUAGAUACGGAUGUAUCUAAUACAAAAACGUGACUUGAUACAUUCGUCUUUAGACAAAUUUAAGACAAGAAUUUCAGGACGGAGCGAGUACUAU